AUUGUAGAGUGUCCUUCACUCAUCAUUCCUGCAUUCAACAUUCUCAAAAAAAUAUAUGGAACAUUCUCUCAACCGGUUAAGGCUUUUAGAGAGUUGGGCUCUGAUACAACUGUUACAGAAUAUGCCCGGCACUAGAGGGGGGGUGAAUAGUGCGGCAUGAGAAUUUUGAUAAAUAUUGCGGAAUUAAAAACUUGCAGGAAUUAAGUAAGU
Molecule: long non-coding RNA, 210 nt
Filed under: Nicotiana benthamiana
Lineage: Eukaryota; Viridiplantae; Streptophyta; Magnoliopsida; Solanales; Solanaceae
Description: long non-coding RNA (NBEN_LNC031141)
Source: RNAcentral